AGCGGAGGAACAUGUGGUUUAAUUCGAUGAUACGCGAGGAACCUUACCUGGGCUUAAAUGUACGAUGCAUGAGGUGGAAACACUUCUUUUCUUCGGAACUUUGUACAAGGUGCUGCAUGGUUGUCGUCAGCUCGUGCCGUGAGGUGUCGGGUUAAGUCCCAUAACGAGCGCAACCCCUAUCGUUAGUUGCUAGCAGGUAAUGCUGAGGACUCUAGCGAGACUGCCACCGUAAGGUGAGAGGAAGGUGGGGAUGACGUCAAAUCAGCACGGCCCUUAUGUCCAGGGCUACACACGUGUUACAAUGGUCGGUACAAAGGGCAGCUACCUGGUGACAGGAUGCCAAUCCCUAAAGCCGAUCCCAGUUCGGAUUGGAGUCNNCAACCCGACUCCAUGAAGUUGGAUUCGCUAGUAAUCGCGCAUCAGCCAUGGCGCGGUGAAUACGUUCCCGGGCCUUGUACACACCGCCCGUCAAACCAUGGAAGCUGGGGGUGCCUGAAGUCUGUGACCGUUAAGGAGCGGCCUAGGGUAAAACUAGUAANCUGGGGUUAAGUCGUAACAAGGUAACCGUA
RNAcentral lists this ribosomal RNA (569 nucleotides) under uncultured Bacteroidota bacterium. Its description in RNAcentral is "bacterial SSU rRNA". It matches the Rfam family "Bacterial small subunit ribosomal RNA", at positions 928 to 1504 of the family's 1533-position model. The record is from RNAcentral. Lineage: Bacteria; Pseudomonadati; Bacteroidota.